RNAcentral lists this ribosomal RNA (256 nucleotides) under uncultured bacterium. RNAcentral's name for it is "partial 16S ribosomal RNA". It matches the Rfam family "Bacterial small subunit ribosomal RNA", at positions 524 to 776 of the family's 1533-position model. The record is from RNAcentral.
UACGUAGGGUGCAAGCGUUGUCCGGAAUUAUUGGGCGUAAAGAGCUCGUAGGCGGUCUGUCGCGUCUGCUGUGAAAACUCAGGGCUUAACCCUGAGCUUGCAGUGGGUACGGGCAGACUAGAGUGCGGUAGGGGAGACUGGAAUUCCUGGUGUAGCGGUGAAAUGCGCAGAUAUCAGGAGGAACACCGGUGGCGAAAGGCGGGGUCUCUGGGCCGUAACUGACGCUGGAGGAGCGAAAGCAUGGGGAGCGAACAGG